This 253-nucleotide ribosomal RNA is filed under the name uncultured bacterium. RNAcentral's name for it is "partial 16S ribosomal RNA". It matches the Rfam family "Bacterial small subunit ribosomal RNA", at positions 524 to 776 of the family's 1533-position model. The record is from RNAcentral.
UACGUAGGGGGCAAGCGUUGUCCGGAUUUAUUGGGCGUAAAGAGCGUGUAGGCGGCUGGGUAGGUCCGUUGUGAAAACUCGAGGCUCAACCUCGAGACGCCGAUGGAAACCCUCCAGCUAGAGUCCGGAAGAGGAGAGUGGAAUUCCUGGUGUAGCGGUGAAAUGCGCAGAUAUCAGGAAGAACACCGGUGGCGAAGGCGGCGACCUGGUCCAUUACUGACGCUGAGGCGCGACAGCGUGGGGAGCAAACAGG